UACGUAGGGGGCUAGCGUUGUCCGGAAUCAUUGGGCGUAAAGAGCGUGUAGGCGGUCCGGUAAGUCCGCUGUGAAAGUCGGGGGGCUCAACCCUCGAAUGCCGGUGGAUACUGUCGGGCUAGAGUGCGGAAGAGGCGAGUGGAAUUCCUGGUGUAGCGGUGAAAUGCGCAGAUAUCAGGAGGAACACCUAUUGCGAAGGCAGCUCGCUGGGACGUUACUGACGCUGGAGACGCGAAAGCGUGGGGAGCAAACAGG
Molecule: ribosomal RNA, 255 nt
Filed under: uncultured bacterium
Lineage: Bacteria
Description: partial 16S ribosomal RNA
Rfam family: Bacterial small subunit ribosomal RNA
Source: RNAcentral